GAUGAACGCUGGCGGCGUGCCUAAUACAUGCAAGUCGAGCGAACAGACGAGGAGCUUGCUCCUCUGACGUUAGCGGCGGACGGGUGAGUAACACGUGGAUAACCUACCUAUAAGACUGGGAUAACUUCGGGAAACCGGAUCUAAUACCGGAUAAUAUAUUGAACCGCAUGGUUCAAUAGUGAAAGACGGUUUUGCUGUCACUUAUAGAUGGAUCCGCGCCGCAUUAGCUAGUUGGUAAGGUAACGGCUUACCAAGGCAACGAUGCGUAGCCGACCUGAGAGGGUGAUCAGCCACACUGGAACUGAGACACGGUCCAGACUCCUACGGGAGGCAGCAGUAGGGAAUCUUCCGCAAUGGGCGAAAGCCUGACGGAGCAACGCCGCGUGAGUGAUGAAGGUCUUCGGACCGUAAAACUCUGUUAUUAGGGAAGAACAAAUGUGUAAGUAACUAUGCACGUCUUGACGGUACCUAAACAGAAAGCCACGGCUAACUACGUG
This 497-nucleotide ribosomal RNA is filed under the name uncultured bacterium. RNAcentral's name for it is "partial 16S ribosomal RNA". It matches the Rfam family "Bacterial small subunit ribosomal RNA", at positions 28 to 507 of the family's 1533-position model. The record is from RNAcentral.